Molecule: long non-coding RNA, 582 nt
Filed under: Zostera marina
Lineage: Eukaryota; Viridiplantae; Streptophyta; Magnoliopsida; Alismatales; Zosteraceae
Description: long non-coding RNA (ZMAR_LNC001144)
Source: RNAcentral
GCAACUAAGAGUAGAUAGGAUGUAUGAAUGAAUAUGAUAUGCUAAUUUUCGGCUUGUAGGUCAGUAACCAAUAGCGAGGCUUCCUCCUAUCUUCUACUAGCUAUAUGAGGAAUCUGAUGUUCGCGGAAAGAGGUCGAUCUGUCGUUCGCAGUCAAAGAUGUGGAACCACGGCCGCUCAGGCGCUCGCUCGCUCGCGGACACUCCGACACUCGCUCGCGGCCACUCCGGUGCUCGCUCUUCUGUCAGACGCUCGCAGAGAACCCAAGGUGUUCGUUCGCUGUUUGUCCUAGAGAACCCAUGACGCUUGCUUCGCUCAAAGUAAGACGAUGCUCUCUCCUCUGUCAGACGAACCGCACACGGAAAACCCAAAAACGCUAGCACGCGGAGAACCCAAAACGCCGCACGCGGAGGACCCACAAGAUUUCUUCGCUCGCGGAUAGAUUUUCCCUCUCUCGGUCAGACUCCUUCACUUGGCACGUUCGCUGUCGGAAACAUCUCUCGUUUGCUCGCUCGUUCGCUCCUGCGUGAGAGUGAAGAAGACGGAAUAUGAACGACGAUGAGAAAAAUCUCAAGAAGUGGUGG